Molecule: long non-coding RNA, 7867 nt
Filed under: Homo sapiens (human)
Lineage: Eukaryota; Metazoa; Chordata; Mammalia; Primates; Hominidae
Description: HSALNT0337888
Source: RNAcentral
GUGCGGCCUUCCCCAGCGGCUGUAGCAGGAGACCUGCGGCUGCAUCUCCCAGGGCCUUCCGGCGGGGCCGAGGGUAGGACCGAGGCACUUCUUCCUUGCAAGCGCGUUUAUUUGUAUUUUCAACCACACUUCAGACGCUACUGGUUUAUAGGAACGUUAAGUUUACUGAGUGUGCAGCUACGCUCCCCUGGGUUUUUGUUCCUUUCCUUAAAGGGCCAGGUGUAGGAGACAGUAGUCCUGCUCCCAAAAAAAGAAUAAAUAGAAGUGCCCGCCCUCUUGGGCUGGACCCCCGUGGCCAAGGGAGUUUUUAGUGAUGGCUGGCAUGGACGUCAGUAUGAAAGUGUACCGGAGUAUUAGUGAUGCUUAACUUUUCACAAUUUGAAUAUGCACUUAAGUAGGGCAGUGCAUUCCCUGAACUCAGCUUUAUGGCUACAGCCCAGUGAAGCAACGGGAUGUGAACUCCAAAACGGCGAAUCCUCCUUUGCUGUUUCCCUCUGGUGCCUUUCUGCAGCCUCGGAGUGAGUUCUUGGCUGUAGUCAGUUUUCAGUACCGUUAGUGACGAGUCCGGUGGGGCGCGGCCAGGAUUAGGAUGAAUCAUACAAGUGCUGGGUGGAUCCUGUCUUUACCUAAAAUUUUGAUAAUUAGUUGUGGGGCGCGGCCAGGAUUAGGAUGAAUCAUACAAGUGCUGGGUGGAUCCUGUCUUUACCUAAAAUUUUGAUAAUUAGUUCAUCAUGGGUUUUUUGCCUUUUUCAUUUUUAAAAAUGUUAAAAUAGUGUCACUCUUGAUGACUUAAAUUUUUUUCAUCCCCGUAAACGCACCUGAGGCCUGUGCUUCCUUGCCUCACCCUAACCUGGCCCUGGGGCUAGAUCCUGGAGAUUCAGGGUUGAAAAGACAAAGUCCUGUCCUUUAGGGAGUUUACAGAGACCAAUGGGAAAGAAGUUGACAGUGAACAAUUUCAGAACACGAAAGAGGAUAUGAAAGAAUGUAAUCGGGGGUAGAGAAUGCAGAUUAGUAUAGGUUAAGGAUUUUGGAUGGUCAGGACGCUUUCUGAGGCUUUGAACCCAGAUGCGUUGAACUGGCAAUGCAGGGCUGCAUAAUAAGCAGAGGGAAUAAUAAGCAGAGGGAAUGCCUGACUACGACUUAGUGAACAAGAGAGAGAGGAGAUGAGGUUAGAGAGGUAGGCAGAAGCCAGAUCCUGUGGGACCUUGUAGUUUUUCCAUGCAGAGUUUAGACUUUCUUCUGAUUGCAGUGGUUAGCUGUUGGAAGGAUUUUGGCAAGGUAGUUAUUUGUUGAUAGAAUAUUGAAAUUAUAAUAGCUUUUUUAUGUAAAAAAAAGAAUGUAAAUGUUAGCCUUUCAUUCUCACAAUAGGUUAGCAUUAUUUUCAGUGUACAAUGGUCGUGCUUCUCAGUGUGAGUUAAUUCUCACUGUGGCUACCAAAACCACACAGCUAGUAAGCGGAGAUUCGAGUGCCCGUCUGCAGGAUUCAAAAAGUCCAUGUCCUUUCCUCUUAUGCUAUGCUAGCCUAUAACACUAUCUGCUGGAGUCCUGGUUGGUUUUAGUACAUUUCACAUUACUUCACAGUUUGACCUUAGAGAUAAUUGUAUUCACCUCUUCUAUUUUCAGAUGCUGGCAUAAAUACAAAAUUCGAAGCAGGCAAGGUUUCUCAUUACAUUAGUUUUUAUUUGUAUUUUUUUGAGACUGAGUCUCGCUCUGUAGCCCAGGCUGGAGUGCAGUGGCGCGAUCUUGGCCCGCUGCAGUCCCUGCCUCCUGGUUCAAGCGGUUCUCCUGCCUCAGCCUCCCAAGUAGCUGGGAUUAUAGGCAUGCGCCACCACGCCUGGCUAAUUUUUAUAUUUUUAGUAGAGACGGGGUUUCACCUUUUUGUCCAGGCUGGUCUUGAACUCCUGAUCUCAACUGAUCCAUCCACCUCGGCCUCCCAAAGUGCUGGGUGGCAUGAGCCACCGAGCCUGGCUCAUUAAAUUAGCUGAGCAUCUGGAAUAUAACCUUUGGAUCUUAUCCUCAGCUUAGAUUUGUUCUUCAGCAGUUUUUUUAUUCUCUAGAAAAAGGCUGAUAUAUUAUUGGAGAAAUCAAAAUUUCUGUCAUAAUGUAAUAUAAAGAACCAAGCAUGUUUUGUUGCAUGCUAGAAUAAUUUGUUAGGUUUUUUUUUUCAGCUUAUUGGGUUACUGCAUCAUUGACAUUAAAUAAUGUUUGAGCUUUAAUUAUUAUAUUAUUCAUAACUGUCGAUAGGUUCAGUUCACUGGCACCUGUUAAAAUUCUCAUCUAAGUGAGAAAGUUAGGGCCACUCUGGCGGGGUGUGGUGGCUCAUGCCUGUAACCCCAGCACUUUGGGAGUCAGAGGCAGGAGGAUUGCUUGAGCCCAGGAGUCAACAUGGUGAAACCCCAUCUCUACCAAAAACAAAAAAAGCAAAAAUUAGCCAGGCAUGGUGGUGCAUACCUGUAGUCCCAGCUACUUGGGAGGCCGAGGUGGGAGGAUGGCUUGAGCCCAGAGGCAGAGGUUGCAGUGAGCUGAGAUCGCAUCACUGCACUCCAGCCUGGCGACCAAAAAAUAAAGGGCAAGGGGACAUUCUGAAUUUUACUAGAAGCCAAUAGAUGUAUACACCUCAUUUUUCAAAUCAGCAUCAAUCAGUUGUUGGGUGUUUAGGUGGAACAUGAAGUGCAGAGAGAACUGCCCUCAUUCUUUCGUAAAAUUCUUAUCGCAGACCUAUCACAUGCAAAACAAUGGGAUAUAUGGAAAUAAAUGGGACAUGACACCUGCCCUUGUGCUUAUUAUCUGUGGGCUUGCCACAUAAUAGCCAUAAUAGGUGUUCAGUAAAUAAUUUCUGAAUACCAAUCAGGCAUAUCUGUGGGGGUAAGGUGUAUAAAAUAAAGCUAUGUGGAACACUGGAUGAGUCAAAUACAUUUAAAUUUGUGGAAAUUUUGGCCGGGACUGGUGGCUCACACCUGUAAUCCCAGCACUUGGAAGGCCUAGGUGGGCAGAUCACCUGAGGUCAGAAGUUCAAGACCAGCCUGGCCAACAUUGUGAAACCCCAUCUCUACUAAAAAUACAAAAAAUUGGCCAGGCAUGGGGGCGGGUGCCUGUAAUCCCAGCUACUUGGGAGGCUGAGGCAGGAGAAUCAUUUGAACCUAGGAGGCGGAGGUUGCAGUGAGCCGAGAUCACGCCAUUGCACUCCAGCCUGGCCAGCAAGAGUGAAACUCCAUGUCAAAAAGAAAAAAAAAAAUUGUGGAAAUUUUCAUAGAAAAAAAGGAGUUACUUCUAUGUACCAGGAUAAGGGAAUAAUCUGUAGGACAGGGUUUCUUAACCUCAGCACAUUUUUGGCCAGAUAAUUGUUGUAGGAUGUUUAGCAGCAUCUCUUUUAUUCCAUCUUCCAGUUGUGGUAACUGUCUCUAAACGUUGUCAGAUGUCUCCUGCGGGGGCAAAAGACCCUCUGGAUGAGAACCAUGGCUGUAGGGGAUGUCUUCUGAAGAAAUGGGCACAAAGGAGGCCUACAACAUAAAGAACAAAAUAAGGGAAAGGGUAAAUGCAGUUGCAUUUAUCAGGAUAAUUUAAUUUGAUGUGGCAUGGGGGGUGGUGUAUAAAGUGAGCUAAUACAAAAUGAUGCUGGAUACAGAUCAUGGAUGUAUUGUAUACACAGUGGAAAGCUGGUUUUAUUUGGGAGACAAUGGGAGCUUUUACAUUGUUGAGCAAAGGAGUGACGAGAUCAGUCUUGCUUUUUAGAAAGAUUAGUUUGGCAGUUACUUAUUUGUAACCAGAAUUAGACAGCAAAUCGGAUGCAGGGGAGAAGUCAGGUGACUAUUAGUCUGCGAAGUAAUUCUGGACAAGAGCAGUGGUAAUGGAAUUGAAAAGGAUUAAAAGUGUUUACCAGGUUUUAGCAAUAAAUCCAAUGCGAGGAAGAGGAACGUAAGAUGACAUUUUAAAUUUGAGAGUGGUAGUACCAUUAAAAACUAAUGAAUUUUGAUUAACUAGUGCUUUAGGCCCUUUGAAAUUAUUUUGAAUUUUGGUUCUUUCUGAACAAUGCACCAGAUUUCUAGACAAAUACUUAAGGUGUUUUUAGACAUCUAUUUAGUGCCUAUUAUAGCAUGGUGUUAGCUUCCGAAGAGACAAGAAUGAUGAAAAUACAAUCUUAUCCAUUAGUGGCAUUGUGAGAGGUCUAGCAGUAACUUGUUCAUCCUAUGCCCUGAUCCACCCUUUCUCAUUUCCUUAUUAAGCACACAAUACUGAGACCAGAAUAAAGCAGUGCAUUUACUACCUUGUGAAGAAUGUUCAGGUGUUCAGGUAUGGUAUCUUCAUUUUGUGCUGCUAUAACAGAAUACAGGAGACUGGGUAAUUUGUAAGGAACAGAAAUGUAUUUCUCACAGUUCUGGAGGAUGGGAAGUCUAAGAUCAAGGAGCUGGCACUUGUUGACUAGGGCUUUCUUGCUGUGUUCUCACAUACAGAAGGCAAGCUAGCAGGAUGCUCCCCGAAACCUCUUUUAUUAUGGGCCUUCAUCCCAGUCCUAAGAGAAUCCCUCAUGGCCUAGUGAUCUCUUAAAGACCCCACCUCUUGAUGCUGUCACAUUGGCAACACUUGAAUUUGAGGGGACACAUACAAGCCAUAGCAAACUGAACAUUUCUCCCAUGCCAGAUAGCACCAUGUUCUUUGUCAGUAGGUGGUGGUAGAGGGGCACUGCAGGAUAAAGGGGCUUCUUUCACUUCUAAGAUGAUACUGUGACAGUUAAUUUUAUGUGUCAACUUGGCGGGGCCACAGGUGCCUAGCUACUGGGUCAUACUUUUUUUUUUUUUUUUUUUGAGAUUUAACUUUUGCUCUGAUUUUCCAAUUAUAAGGUCAAACAUUAUUCUAGGUGUUUCUGUGAGGGUGUUUUAUAUGAGAUUGACAUUUAAAUCAAUCAGUGAACUCUGAGUAAUGCAGACUGUCCUCCUCGAUGUUAGUGGGCUUGAUCCAGUCAGGUGAAGGUCUGAAGAGAAAAAAAGACCGUCCUCUUCCCAGAACAAGAGAAUCCUCCAACAGAUACCUUUGGACUGGACCUUGCACCAUCAGCUUUCCUGGGUUUCCAGCCUCCUGCCUCACACUCCAGCUUUUGGACUUGUUAGACUUAAUAAUAACAACACAAGCCAAUCCUUUUAAGGAAGUUUGUCUGGAGAAUCUUGACAAACACAAACAUCUACUGAGAGUUCCUGUCCAAGUUUUGCUCACACCCUAGCAAGAGGCUUCUGGCUUACCAGUUGGGAGUGUGAGGUUCUUUGCUUGUAAGACCUGAUCCACCAGCGGUACACCAGCUCUGGCCCAGGGCAAGACAGGGAAUUUCCCAAUCACUGAGUAGGCUGUAGCCACUCUCUCCAUUAGGCCUGACUUCACCAUGGGGAAGGGGAGACCCUUUCAAGGGUAUUCUUUCCUGGGGUACUCUCAGUCCUAGGACAUCAUAGCUCUCUUUCAUCCCUCUUAAAAGUUAAUACCAUUAUCAGUUAACAGUUUUUAUAUUAAAAUUAUCCCUGUUCAAGUUAAUGGUAUGGUUUCUGUAUCCUGACUGGAUAUUAGGAUACAGUAUUUACUGUCUUAUUUCUACUACUUUAUGUUUAAAGUUUUUCAUAAUAUUUAAACUGAAGUUUUGAUCAUUCAUUAAAUAUUUACACAGAACAGGACAAAGGAUGAUUUUCCUUUGUCUAGUUAUUGUAAGGUAGCGUCCAAGAUUUACCACCACAUCAUGAUUACAGAUGGUCACCAACUUAUGUUUUAGGAUUUUUUGACUUUAUGAUGGGUUUAUAGGGAUGCAGCCCCAUUUCAAGCUGAGGAGCUCCUUAGGGCUUAGGAAUCAUACCUCUUUCACACCAUGGUAAAGUUGGAAAAUUGUUAAGUCAAGCUGUCAUUAAUUAGGAGACUGCUGUGUUGCUAACGUUAUAUGCAUUUUUAACUUAUGAUGGGUUUAUUGGGAAUUAACCACAAUGUAAAUCGAGGACCAUCUGUAUAUUGUAUGAUUUUUGCUAAUGCAUUGAGAGAGAUCUGUGUAAAUUAUCUAUGACUUCAGAAUAUGCAUAUUACCUCCAACUGUGUUAACUCAACGUUUUUCAAGAGAGUAAGGGUACUUUCACCCUAUGUGGAUGUACUGUAGAAUUUUUCUAAGCUACGAAAGUCUAUAAAUAACAAAUCAACUUAAACUUUUUGGGAAAUAAUUUCUACUAAAGAUUCAUAAUCGGCGUAUUCCUUCAAUGACUGUACAAGUUCAUCCAGUAGAUAAUCUCCUUGCAUAAAAGUUUCAAGAUCAUGCAGCGUCUUGUUUAUUCUGUGAUCUGUGACCCGGUUCUGUGGAAAAUUAUAUGUUCUUAUUUUCUCUGAUCUUCCUUUACUUCCAAUCUGUAUAUAGAGAAAAAGAUGAGAUGCAGCUAGAUUCAGGGCAAUUUAAACCUACAAAUUUAACUUAUUUGGAGACUUAAGUUCUUGAUUUAUAACAUGAAUCAAAUGCGAGAACCAGGUUUUAAACACUUAGAAUCUCAAAUGACAUGGGAACAUGAUAUAGAAAAAAGAACACGUGCUCUAAAAUCAGAUUAAUAUCUGAAUCCUGCCUCAGCCACUUCAAUGUUCUAUGACCUCGGGCAACUUAGUUUCCCGAUCUGCAAAAUACAGUGUCUACUACACAGUGAUGAUGACAAUAGAGCCUGGCACAUAGAUGCUAUUCCUAUAGUCGCUGAAUACAUAUAAUCUCUGUGAAUUAAUGCAGUCAUCUUCCGUGGUAACAAGGUGGUGAGUUUCCCAUAUUGAGGAAUUCUUAAAAGGCUCUGUAGUUAUAAAAUUAAAUACCGGCCAGGCGCGGUGGCUCACACCUGUAAUCCCAGCACUUUGGGAGGCUGAGGUGGGUGGAGCACCUGAGGUCAGGAGUUCGAGACCAGCCUGCCCAACAUGGCAAAACCCCGUCUCUACUAAAAAUACAAAAAAUUAGCCGGGUGUGGUGGCAGGCGCCUAUAAUCCCAGCUACUCAGGAGGCUGCAGCAGGAGAAUUGCUUGAACCCAGGGGGUGGAAGUCGCAGUGAGCUGAGAUCGCACCACUGCACUCCAGCCUGGGUGACAAGAGCGGAACUCCAUGUCAAUAACAAACAACAACAACAAAAAUUAAAUACAGGAAGAAAAAAACAGGAAGAAAGCCAAGUUGAGUUUGCUUUCCAACUUUCUUGCGUAAUUAAAAUUUCAAAGGAUUAAAAAUGAAUGAGGACUCAGUAUAUAUCUUUAUUUUUAGUAACGGAUUAAAAGUCUGAGAAAAAUACCUUUGAAUAUAGAAAACAGGGCAGAGAUGUAAGAUUACUAUCAAAGAAGGAUAGCCCUUAGACUACUUGAAUUGUUUUCAACACAGGUUAAAACAAAUAUAUAAAAACCAAGUUAUUUAAAAAAAGCUGAGUUAUAUAAAAAUAUUUCUAUCCUUUAAAAGCAUUUUUAAAAUUCUUUUUUUACCUGAAUUUUUCUAGCAUUCUGUCUUUUAUUUAUUUCUUCUUCUAGAUGCAUGCUGUACAGUUUUGCACGUAACUUUGUCAUAGCCAGCUCUUUAUUUUUCAGCUGAGAUCUCUCUUGUUGACAUUCAGAAACAACACCUGAAUAGUGUUACGAGAAUUAAAAAGUUUUAAUAAAAAAAUCUUCUUUACUUAUUAUCAAGGAAUACUUUUCCUCCUCAUCCUUUUUCUUCUUCCUUUAUGAGGGGAAAAAACAGAGGACUCUAAUAAAAAAGGGAGAGACUAUAAGCUUAACUUUUGCAGAGUUUAUCAGAAAACUGAAAAUUUAAGUUUUGAGCAAUAGCACAAAUAGCACAAAGUCUUUCUUUCUUUCUUUUUUUGUCUGAGAUGGAGUCUCGCUCUGUCGCCCAGGCUGGAGU